CAUGGAAAGGCUGCCCGCGGCCGGUGUUUCCCCUUCUCGGGAGGCGCCAGUUGGCGGACGCUGGACUAUUUUAUUACCCUUGUCUUUUGCGCACUUGUUGUUUCCUGGGCGGGUUCGCCCGCCACCAGGACCACACUAUAAACCUUUUGUAUGCAGUUGCAAUCAGCGUCAGUACAACAAAUGUAAAAUCAUUUACAACUUUCAACAACGGAUCUCUUGGUUCUGGCAUCGAUGAAGAACGCAGCGAAAUGCGAUACGUAGUGUGAAUUGCAGAAUUCAGUGAAUCAUCGAAUCUUUGAACGCACAUUGCGCCCUUUGGUAUUCCAAAGGGCAUGCCUGUUCGAGCGUCAUUUGUACCCUCAAGCUUUGCUUGGUGUUGGGCGUUUUUGUCUUGGGGCCUGCCCCUAAAAGACUCGCCUUAAAAAGAUUGGCAGCCGGCCUACUGGUUUCGCAGCGCAGCACAUUUUUGCGCUUGCAACCAGCCCUAAAGAGGACGGCACUCCAUCAAGUCUCUUUAUUCACUUUUGACCUCGGAUCAGGUAGGGAUACCCGCUGAACUUAAGCAUAUCAAUAAGCGGAGGAAAAGAAACCAACAGGGAUUGCCUUAGUAACGGCGAGUGAAGCGGCAACAGCUCAAAUUUGAAAUCUGGCUCUUUUAGGGUCCGAGUUGUAAUUUGCAGAGGGCGCUUUGGCUUUGGCAGCGGUCCAAGUUCCUUGGAACAGGACGUCACAGAGGGUGAGAAUCCCGUACGUGGUCGCUAGCUAUUGCCGUGUAAAGCCCCUUCGACGAGUCGAGUUGUUUGGGAAUGCAGCUCUAAAUGGGAGGUAAAUUUCUUCUAAAGCUAAAUAUUGGCCAGAGACCGAUAGCGCACAAGUAGAGUGAUCGAAAGAUGAAAAGCACUUUGGAAAGAGAGUCAAACAGCACGUGAAAUUGUUGAAAGGGAAGCGCUUGCAGCCAGACUUGCUUGCAGUUGCUCAUCCGGGCUUUUGCCCGGUGCACUCUUCUGCAGGCAGGCCAGCAUCAGUUUGGGCGGUGGGAUAAAGGUCUCUGACACGUUCCUUCCUUCGGGUUGGCCAUAUAGGGGAGACGUCAUACCACCAGCCUGGACUGAGGUCCGCGCAUCUG
RNAcentral lists this ribosomal RNA (1126 nucleotides) under fungal endophyte. RNAcentral's name for it is "eukaryotic LSU rRNA". The stretch from base 526 to 1126 matches the Rfam family "Eukaryotic large subunit ribosomal RNA", at positions 1 to 605 of the family's 3401-position model. Lineage: Eukaryota; Fungi. The record is from RNAcentral.